Molecule: ribosomal RNA, 504 nt
Filed under: uncultured bacterium
Lineage: Bacteria
Description: partial 16S ribosomal RNA
Rfam family: Bacterial small subunit ribosomal RNA
Source: RNAcentral
AUUGAACGCUGGCGGCAGGCCUAACACAUGCAAGUCGAGCGGUAGCACAGAGAGCUUGCUCUCGGGUGACGAGCGGCGGACGGGUGAGUAAUGUCUGGGAAACUGCCUGAUGGAGGGGGAUAACUACUGGAAACGGUAGCUAAUACCGCAUAACGUCGCAAGACCAAAGUGGGGGACCUUCGGGCCUCAUGCCAUCAGAUGUGCCCAGAUGGGAUUAGCUGGUAGGUGGGGUAACGGCUCACCUAGGCGACGAUCCCUAGCUGGUCUGAGAGGAUGAACAGCCACACUGGAACUGAGACAAGGUCCAGACUCCUACGGGAGGCAGCAGUGGGGAAUAUUGGACAAUGGGCGCAAGCCUGAUGCAGCAAAGCCGGGUGUGUGAAGAAGGCCUUCGGGUUGUAAAGCACUUUCAGCGGGGAGGAAGGCAUUAAGGUUAAUAACCUUAGUGAUUGACGUUACCCGCAGAAGAAGCACUGGCUAACUCCGUGCCAGCCGCCGCCGUAA